This is a long non-coding RNA of Pyrus x bretschneideri (Chinese white pear), 917 nucleotides long. RefSeq lists it as uncharacterized. The transcript has 3 exons. NCBI's taxonomy places the organism in Eukaryota, Viridiplantae, Streptophyta, Magnoliopsida, Rosales, Rosaceae. The record is from RefSeq and is a predicted model, not a curated record.
GUUGAUGAGAUUGAGUUUUGGAGAAGGUUUCAAUUUCCCUCAAGGGCUUCCAACAUUCCAUAUAUAUCAGUACUAUGAUCGAUCGACGUCGAGUACGUAUGGGAAUGUUGGUUGCCGGAGGGAACUUUGAAGCAUUGCUCCUCCGCUUUUGCUGCUGACUGAGUGACUCUCUUCGUUUUCCAGUACAAACUCUAAACCCUAAUAGACUUAUUUCACAGACUUAGUUCAUAAUUACGUGUGAUUUUUUUUGUAAUGAGUUCAAUUUGCCUCUCUUUAUAUAUAGUUUUUUUUCUGCUGUUUUUCUCUCCCUCUAAUUAUAGUGGGAAUAUUUGGGGGAUUGGGUGGUCAAUUUGGUGGAGUCUGGAGCAGGUAAAUGACUGAAGUUGAAGAAUAUUACCACCAAGAAGGAUCAAAUGGUUUAGCUAGAUCUUACACAGCCUUAAAACAAUUUUCUUAUACGUUUUGACAAAAUUAAGGUUGUAUUUAGGACAGUGUGUGUGCAGAAGAUUGCUCGACUUUGAAGGUCUGCUCGACUCCUGACUACUUCAGAAUCUCAGUGCCGCAAGAUGAGUUUGAGUUGAUAAAUUGUUGAGAUUGUGAUGAAUGAACUGAGUUUUGAUGAGAAGAAAUCGCAGGUUGCUCAGAGGUACUCAAUUUGCUGCUUAGAUGGAUCAAGAAAGAACGGAUGAAGAUCAUGAGAACUCAAAUACUGCUCAACAAAGUACAAAUUGCAGUUACAGAACAACACACAGAUUGCUUGGUUCUACUUGUACGAUGCGCAAGGCCAUAGUUGUAUGUAGAAGAUAGUGGCUCAAAGACUUGUAUCCUCCAAUUUCCUUUUAAUUAGUACAUAUAUAAAAGUAAAUCAGCAUUUACUUUUUAGUUUUUACAAAUACAAAACCUAAUGUUCAUGCUUC